AUUGAACGCUGGCGGCAUGCCUUACACAUGCAAGUCGAACGGCAGCAUGAUCUAGCUUGCUAGAUUGAUGGCGAGUGGCGAACGGGUGAGUAAUACAUCGGAACGUGCCCUGUAGUGGGGGAUAACUAGUCGAAAGAUUAGCUAAUACCGCAUACGACCUGAGGGUGAAAGUGGGGGACCGCAAGGCCUCAUGCUAUGGGAGCGGCCGAUGUCUGAUUAGCUAGUUGGUGAGGUAAAGGCUCACCAAGGCGACGAUCAGUAGCUGGUCUGAGAGGACGAUCAGCCACACUGGGACUGAGACACGGCCCAGACUCCUACGGGAGGCAGCAGUGGGGAAUUUUGGACAAUGGGCGAAAGCCUGAUCCAGCAAUGCCGCGUGUGUGAAGAAGGCCUUCGGGUUGUAAAGCACUUUUGUCCGGAAAGAAAUGGCUCUGGUUAAUACCUGGGGUCGAUGACGGUACCGGAAGAAUAAGGACCGGCUAACUACGUG
Molecule: ribosomal RNA, 490 nt
Filed under: uncultured bacterium
Lineage: Bacteria
Description: partial 16S ribosomal RNA
Rfam family: Bacterial small subunit ribosomal RNA
Source: RNAcentral